RNAcentral lists this ribosomal RNA (323 nucleotides) under uncultured eukaryote. Its description in RNAcentral is "partial 18S ribosomal RNA". It matches the Rfam family "Eukaryotic small subunit ribosomal RNA", at positions 1470 to 1796 of the family's 1831-position model. The record is from RNAcentral.
CCCUUAGAUGUCCGGGGCCGCACGCGCGCUACACUGAAGGAAUCAGCGUGGCUCUGUCCCUGGUCCGAAAGGAUUGGGAAACCCGUUGGAUCUCCUUCGUGAUAGGGAUUGGGGCUUGGAACUGUUCCCCAUGAACGAGGAAUUCCCAGUAAGCGCGAGUCAUAAGCUCGCGUUGAUUACGUCCCUGCCCUUUGUACACACCGCCCGUCGCACCUACCGAUUGAAUGGUCCGGUGAAAUCUCGGGACGGCGGCUUGGUCGCUUGCGUCCGACUGCUGAAACUUGAUUAAACCAUAUCAUUUAGAGGAAGGUGAAGUCGUANCA